RNAcentral lists this ribosomal RNA (507 nucleotides) under Pselaphogenius sp. QH23. RNAcentral describes it as "partial large subunit ribosomal RNA". The record is from RNAcentral. Lineage: Eukaryota; Metazoa; Arthropoda; Insecta; Coleoptera; Staphylinidae.
GUUAAUUCUAACGGGUCUCGAUCUGCCCCAUGAGUAUUAAAUGGCCGCAGUAUUUUGACUGUGCGAAGGUAGCAUAAUAAUUACUUUUUUUAUUGAAAGCUGGAAUGAAUGAUUUAAUGAAAAAAUAACUGUCUCUGAUUUAUUUAUAUAGAAUUUUAUUUUUUAGUUAACAAGCUUAAAUUUGAUUUAACGACGAGAAAACCCUAUACAGUUUGAUAUUUAUAUAUUUAUUAGUUUUAUUGAAUUUAUAUAUUUUUAUAUAUAUAAAUAUUUUAUUGGGGUGAUAAAAAAAUUUGCUAAGCUUUUUUAAUUUAUUACCAACUUUUAUUGAUUAUAUGAUCCUUAUUUUGGAUAAUUAGAUUAAAUUACCUCAAGGAUAACAGCGUAAUUUUUCUGUAGAGUUCUAAUCGAUAGAUAACAUUGCGACCUCAAUGUUGGAUCAAUAUAAAUUUUUAAUGCAAAAAUUACAAUAUUUAAUCUGUUCGACUUUUAAAAUCUUACAUGAUC